CCUACGGGAGGCAGCAGUGAGGAAUAUUGGUCAAUGGACGAGAGUCUGAACCAGCCAAGUAGCGUGAAGGAUGACUGCCCUAUGGGUUGUAAACUUCUUUUAUAUGGGAAUAAAAUGUUCCACGUGUGGGAUUUUGUAUGUACCAUAUGAAUAAGGAUCGGCUAACUCCGUGCAAGUAGCCGCGGUAAUACGGAGGAUCCGAGCGUAAUCCGGAUUUUUUGGGUUUAAAGGGAGCGUAGGUGGAUUGUUAAGUAAGUUGUGAAAGUUUGCGGCUCAACCGUAAAAUUGCAGUUGAAACUGGCAGUCUUGAGUACAGUAGAGGUGGGCGGAAUUCGUGGUGUAGCGGUGAAAUGCUUAGAUAUCACGAAGAACUCCGAUUGCGAAGGCAGUUCACUGGACUGCAACUGACACUGAGGCUCGAAAGUGUGGGUAUCAAACAGGAUUAGAUACCCUGGUAGUC
This 460-nucleotide ribosomal RNA is filed under the name uncultured bacterium. RNAcentral describes it as "partial 16S ribosomal RNA". It matches the Rfam family "Bacterial small subunit ribosomal RNA", at positions 338 to 795 of the family's 1533-position model. The record is from RNAcentral.